UCCUAGACCAUGUAGUCCAAGUGAGCUCGCCCAGAACAGAAGACCCACCCAGCUGACUCGUAGAAUCAAACCAUCGGAGGCCUGUGAGUAGCAGAGUGACACUGGCUGCUGUGUGGAGAGCGCUGUGUGGCAAGCAGGAGUAGAAACAAGGAGCUGUUCGAGGAGACGACAGGAGCUCUGCGCAGGGAGACAGAGGAGGCAGUGCGCGGGGUGGAGAGCUGUGGUGGCAGGACUCUGUUCAAGGGGACUGAAACGCAGGCGGCAUCCUCUGGACUUAACACAGUGAUCAGAACAGUACAGGUCAACAAACUAUGAUCAGUUGGCAAAGAGAAUGAAAUCAAUCCUGUGGCUGAACACCCUGUUCAGUUGGUUCCAAAUUAGGAAUGUGACCACUUGUGCCAGGGUUCUUAGAAGCACUUCCUCAUCCCUAAGAGUGGUCUUCUUUCUCUGGAUACUGGCGUGUUUGGAUUGUGAUGCCAAGGUUUUUUGCUAUCAUCUGUCUCUUGCCCAAGGAGGAAGCUGUUCUCUGAAGGAUGAGAGAGUAAAGAUUGGAGGAGCCUUGGAUCCUUCAUGACCUUGUUGUGCAACAGCAUCUAUCAACCUUGCCCUCCCUAUGAACUUCCUUGUUAUAUGAUAUAAUAAAUUUCCCAAUUGUUUCAGUAUUAGUCACAGUGUGAAUGGGUUUUAUUAUUAGCAGCUAAAACAUUCUGUUCACCAAGUGCCACUUGGUAACACUGAUUUUCCACAAAUGCUGGUAAAAUGCUCACUUCAACUCAUCCCACAUUCUCCAGCAUAGUUAGAGAAUGCUCUGGAGAAUAUACAUGGGUCCAGAUUUUUUAGAAACUCUCCAGGUACGCAGACCUCAGUCUUGUCAGGGUUAGUCUAUGUCAAAAACUUCUAUUCUCUUCCUUUCAGCCAAGUACUCCAUUGACCUUCAUUGCAGACUCAAGCCAGGUUUGAGAAUGUAAUUCUUUCUUAACUGAAAGCAUAUAAGAGUUACCAGGAGUCAAGAUGCCAUGAGCUAUUUGUCCCUGUAUCUAUUAUUGAGGUGCCCAAAAAGUUUGUUUGGGUUUUUCUGUAAACUGUAACAAACUCGAAUGAACUUUUUGACCAACCCAAUAUUUAAAGUCUGCUUAAGUUCCAGACUCUUUUUGACUAGUCUGCUGAUUGGGUUUCCGACUUCAUGCUGUCUUUCU
Molecule: long non-coding RNA, 1196 nt
Organism: Bos taurus (domestic cattle)
Lineage: Eukaryota; Metazoa; Chordata; Mammalia; Artiodactyla; Bovidae
Source: Ensembl